This 1000-nucleotide ribosomal RNA is filed under the name uncultured organism. Its description in RNAcentral is "bacterial SSU rRNA". It matches the Rfam family "Bacterial small subunit ribosomal RNA", at positions 355 to 1375 of the family's 1533-position model. The record is from RNAcentral.
UGGGGGAUAUUGCGCAAUGGGGGCAACCCUGACGCAGCAACGCCGCGUGAAGGAUGAAGGUUUUCGGAUUGUAAACUUCUUUUAUUAAGGACGAAACUUGACGGUACUUAAUGAAUAAGCUCCGGCUAACUACGUGCCAGCAGCCGCGGUAAUACGUAGGGAGCAAGCGUUGUCCGGAUUUACUGGGUGUAAAGGGUGCGUAGGCGGCUUUGCAAGUCAGAUGUGAAAUCUAUGGGCUCAACCCAUAAACUGCAUUUGAAACUGUAGAGCUUGAGUGAAGUAGAGGCAGGCGGAAUUCCCCGUGUAGCGGUGAAAUGCGUAGAGAUGGGGAGGAACACCAGUGGCGAAGGCGGCCUGCUGGGCUUUAACUGACGCUGAGGCACGAAAGCGUGGGUAGCAAACAGGAUUAGAUACCCUGGUAGUCCACGCUGUAAACGAUGAUUACUAGGUGUGGGGGGUCUGACCCCUUCCGUGCCGGAGUUAACACAAUAAGUAAUCCACCUGGGGAGUACGGCCGCAAGGUUGAAACUCAAAGGAAUUGACGGGGGCCCGCACAAGCAGUGGAGUAUGUGGUUUAAUUCGAAGCAACGCGAAGAACCUUACCAGGUCUUGACAUCCAACUAACGAAGUAGAGAUACAUUAGGUGCCCUUCGGGGAAAGUUGAGACAGGUGGUGCAUGGUUGUCGUCAGCUCGUGUCGUGAGAUGUUGGGUUAAGUCCCGCAACGAGCGCAACCCUUGCUAUUAGUUGCUACGCAAGAGCACUCUAAUAGGACUGCCGUUGACAAAACGGAGGAAGGUGGGGACGACGUCAAAUCAUCAUGCCCCUUAUGACCUGGGCUACACACGUACUACAAUGGAUGUUAACAGAGGGAAGCAAGACAGCGAUGUGGAGCAAACCCCUAAAAACAUUCUCAGUUCAGAUUGCAGGCUGCAACCCGCCUGCAUGAAAAUGGAAUUGCUAGUAAUCGCGGAUCAGCAUGCCGCGGUGAAUACGUUCCC